Molecule: long non-coding RNA, 2997 nt
Organism: Sapajus apella (tufted capuchin)
Lineage: Eukaryota; Metazoa; Chordata; Mammalia; Primates; Cebidae
Exons: 2
Source: RefSeq, a predicted model, not a curated record
GAAGCCGGGAGCGAGGACCCCGCUCUCGGGUAGAAUUGGAGGGUACUCGUGGUGGGGCGCAGCGAGGCUCAAAGGGACACCCACGUUCUCCUCCCCAGGGUGAUGGUGCAUGUUCUGCACUGUUUCCCGUCCGCCGUGGCCACCAUUCCAGCAAGGAAGGAGACCGCGUGGUGGCGAGUGUCCGGGGUUUGGGGUCCCACCCCUACCCGACGCAGUCAUGGCGCCCCCGUACCCCGCCGGAUUGUAGUGGACCCGUCUCCCCCGCCCUGGGUGCACCAGCCGCUCCCGCAGCGCCCAGACCUCCGCCGGGAGCUCUGACGGCUGUGCAGUACUGGCCGCUGGCCUUCGGGCCUCCCCCGCCCCAGGGCGCCGCGCAGGUGCCUUUGCUGACGCCGAGCGUGAGCCUGAGCCCGACCCGGGACCCCAGAGGCCUGUGCGCCCUGAAGCGCCCGCGCACUUCAGGGGAGGUUCGCCCCAGGCAAGGGGGAUGCAUCUUCCCGACGACUUCGGAUCCAGCUGUUUGUUGAGGAACCAGGAAACGCCCUGACACUUUUGCGGCCCUGUCCCCGUCUCUAGAUGGGGAUGACAGUACUUCUGUCCAUUGCGGAGCACAGCAGGACCUGCCUUUUCCCUUUGACUGGAAGGUUCUUCUCUACACCCCCAUCUGUCUUGAUAACCUGCCACCUCCGCAGAGGUCUUCCCUGUCUCCCGAUUUAAAAUUGCAGCUCUGAGAAGCCGGGCACGGUGGCACAUGCCUGUAGUGCCAACUACUGGGGAGUCUGAGGUGGGAGGAUUGCUUGAGCCCGGGAGCUGGAGGCUGCAGUGAGCUCUGACUGUUCCAUUGCACUCCAGCCUGGGCGAAAGAGCAAGACUCUGUCUCUAAAAAGAUAAACUAAAAUUGCAUGUCUUGUGUGCUUCACCAUGGCUCCUUCUCCUGAAUACUUAUUAUCUCACGUGCUGCGUGUUUUAUUGAUCUCAUUAGUCUCUCCCAUCCCAACCUUUGUACUAAACUGCCUGAAGGCAGCUCUUGUCACUGCUGGAGAACAGAGUCCUGCACAAAGCUGAUGGCUAAAAAAUAGUUAAUGAAAUAAUGGAUGAUGGGCGGGUGGUACUAAGUUCACCUUAAAUGUGAGUGGAGGACUAGCCCUGCAGAGAUUCAGUGACCUGCUGGCCGUUGCUAAGCUGUCACGAAGUUCAAGUCUGGCUGCAGUGUCCAAGCUGUGACUCAGUCACUGCUGAUGCUCACGGGACCUUCACCAGCUUAGUCCCAGAGAGCAAAGAUUUUAACCCCCGACCUCCAUUUCCUCGUCUGUAAAAUGGAAAUAUGGAGCUGUGUAACACCCGGAACAGUGCCUGCUGCACAGAGGCUCCCUGCCAGCUCCCUCUCCCUCCUUGCCUCUUACCUGCCUGCUGCCUGGGACUGGAUGAACAGGUGCCUUUGUGUUGCUCUGACCCUGGCUGCCCGCCAAGGGUCCAUGUGAUCUGCCUGGCAGAGGAGUUCCUUUGGGAAGAAUCAGGGCAGCUUCUGUCCCCCGGCACCAGCCUGGUCCAGCUCUGGGAAGAGGGUGCCCAGUUGUAUAAGCCAGGCCUGGGCAGCCGAGUCCUCAUCUUGAUAUUCAGGGCCCAGCCUGGAGGGGACUUGUGAUGCCUGACUCUAUCUCUCUGGCCCCAUGCCUUGGUAGCUGUGGGAGGUCACUGCUUUAGGUGACCUGAUCUGGUUGUGCAGAUGGGCAUGGAGGAAAUAGUAGAAGACUCGGAAUUAGAAGACGCGAGUGGGCUUUGGCCCCGGCCUCGCCACCCCACUCCCUGCCCUGGGCUGUCUGUCACCAACCUUCUUGCCUCCACAGACACACUGGACAGCCCUGCCGGGGACCUGAUCCUCAGCGUCCCUAACCCUCUCCCAAUACCAGUGGCCUAAGGGAGGUCCUCAAAGGCCGGUGGGACAUCCAUCUCUGUCAGUCUCCAGGCUCUUGACACUUUUGCCAGAAGGAAUUUAAGGACAAGUUAGAAGGCAUGAAUGGAGGGAGAUUUCUUGCAGAGCAAGAGUAUACACUCAAGAAGGGGAAUGUGGGGGUCAUGAAGAGAGUGUCUCAUGCCCUAGGUUUGGGACUGACCUUUAUGGGCUUCUUUAAAGAUGGUGUAUUCAUGAAGAUUCCAGGAAAAGGUAAAGAUUUCUCAAAACCGUGGUGCCACAAUUUACGUCCAAAUACAGGUGUUCCUGGAGCGGUCUUGGCACUGGUCGGUGUAUGAUUUAACAUCUUACUGAUCAUAUAAUGAGAUCCUAGGUGAAACCUACAUCAAAUGCAGCGCCAUGUUGGGUCUGGUUGGUUGUAGCCAGCUUGGUCCUCAUCCUAUUUUUCCGGGACUUAUUGGCCCUUAGCACAUGCAGCUAUUUCAAGUUUCCUUCUUCUGGUCAUGUGAAACUGCAGCCUGGGAUUUUCUAGUCCCCAGCUACCACCCUGUAUUAAUCUCACAUUCUUGCCUAUUUUCCAUGCCAUCUGGAGUGGGUCUAGCUGGUUUUUACCGGACUGCAAUACAAAGUCUGAGCCAAGGGUACCUCCCGAUGGUUACUGAAGGCAGAGAUGGAGCUAGUGGCCUCAGGACCUGUCAGUCAGGAUCACAGAGGAGGGAGGAGGGGCCGUGGCCCUAACAGAUCACUCCAAGCUUGUCUCCAGCUGGCGGACUAAGGAGGAUAAUGGAGAAGCUCCCCAACUCCCAAACCCACCUCUUCCUCCCAGGAGCAAAACUAACUCUGGCCUGGCUCCAGAUCCCUCCCACACUGGACUUAGGAAACCCUCAGCACAGAUAACAGCCCUGCAUUCCCACACCGCACCCACACUCAGCCACUGCGGGCGAGGACAGCCAGCUCCCGAAAGCUCAGGUGAGUGACAUGGUGGAAUGGCCCAAGUCGCCCUCACCCUGCUCAGCUUCUGGCUCCAACAUUCCAGAAGCCGAGGCCUCUGCCAUUCCUGCUCUUUCCCCAUGGAUAUCCCAUUU